RNAcentral lists this unclassified non-coding RNA (29 nucleotides) under Dictyostelium discoideum. The record is from RNAcentral. Lineage: Eukaryota; Evosea; Eumycetozoa; Dictyosteliales; Dictyosteliaceae.
GGGGGGUUCGUUUCCCGGCAUACGCACCA